GGGUUGUGAGGUUAAGCGACUAAGCGUACACGGUGGAUGCCCUGGCAGUCAGAGGCGAUGAAGGGCGUGCUAAUCUGCGAUAAGCGCCGGUAAGGUGAUAUGAACCGUUAUAACCGGCGAUACCCGAAUGGGGAAACCCAGUGUGACUCGUCACACUAUCAUUAACUGAAUCCAUAGGUUAAUGAGGCGAACCGGGGGAACUGAAACAUCUAAGUACCCCGAGGAAAAGAAAUCAACCGAGAUUCCCCCAGUAGCGGCGAGCGAACGGGGAGGAGCCCAGAGCCUGAAUCAGCAUGUGUGUUAGUGGAAGCGUCUGGAAAGGCGCGCGAUACAGGGUGACAGCCCCGUACACAAAAGCGCAUGUGCUGUGAGCUCGAUGAGUAGGGCGGGACACGUGGUAUCCUGUCUGAAUAUGGGGGGACCAUCCUCCAAGGCUAAAUACUCCUGACUGACCGAUAGUGAACCAGUACCGUGAGGGAAAGGCGAAAAGAACCCCGGCGAGGGGAGUGAAAAAGAACCUGAAACCGUGUACGUACAAGCAGUGGGAGCCCCACCACUAAGCCAGUGGUGAACUCCACAUACGCAUCCUUUGCUGAGGAUACGGUUAACGGAGCGAAAGCGACGUUCAACCGCAAAAGAAGCAGAGGGGGCUUAGUGGUGGGGUGACUGCGUACCUUUUGUAUAAUGGGUCAGCGACUUAUAUUCUGUAGCAAGGUUAACCGUAUAGGGGAGCCGGAGGGAAACCGAGUCUUAAUUGGGCGUUAAGUUGCAGGGUAUAGACCCGAAACCCGGUGAUCUAGCCAUGGGCAGGUUGAAGGUUGGGUAACACUAACUGGAGGACCGAACCGACUAAUGUUGAAAAAUUAGCGGAUGACCUGUGGCUGGGGGUGAAAGGCCAAUCAAACCGGGAGAUAGCUGGUUCUCCCCGAAAGCUAUUUAGGUAGCGCCUCGUGAAUUCAUCUCCGGGGGUAGAGCACUGUUUCGGCUAGGGGGCCAUCCCGGCUUACCAACCCGAUGCAAACUGCGAAUACCGGAGAAUGUUAUCACGGGAGACACACGGCGGGUGCUAACGUCCGUCGUGAAGAGGGAAACAACCCAGACCGCCAGCUAAGGUCCCAAAGUCAUGGUUAAGUGGGAAACGAUGUGGGAAGGCCCAGACAGCCAGGAUGUUGGCUUAGAAGCAGCCAUCAUUUAAAGAAAGCGUAAUAGCUCACUGGUCGAGUCGGCCUGCGCGGAAGAUGUAACGGGGCUAAACCAUGCACCGAAGCUGCGGCAGCGACACUCAGGUGUUGUUGGGUAGGGGAGCGUUCUGUAAGCCUGUGAAGGUGGCCUGUGAGGGUUGCUGGAGGUAUCAGAAGUGCGAAUGCUGACAUAAGUAACGAUAAAGCGGGUGAAAAGCCCGCUCGCCGGAAGACCAAGGGUUCCUGUCCAACGUUAAUCGGGGCAGGGUGAGUCGACCCCUAAGGCGAGGCCGAAAGGCGUAGUCGAUGGGAAACGGGUUAAUAUUCCCGUACUUGGUGUUACUGCGAAGGGGGGACGGAGAAGGCUAUGUUGGCCGGGCGACGGUUGUCCCGGUUUAAGCGUAUAGGUGUGUGUUCCAGGUAAAUCCGGUUCACUUUAACACUGAGGCGUGAUGACGAGGCGCUACGGUGCUGAAGCAACAAAUGCCCUGCUUCCAGGAAAAGCCUCUAAGCAUCAGGUAACAUCAAAUCGUACCCCAAACCGACACAGGUGGUCAGGUAGAGAAUACCAAGGCGCUUGAGAGAACUCGGGUGAAGGAACUAGGCAAAAUGGUGCCGUAACUUCGGGAGAAGGCACGCUGACAUGUAGGUGAAGUGAUUUACUCAUGGAGCUGAAGUCAGUCGAAGAUACCAGCUGGCUGCAACUGUUUAUUAAAAACACAGCACUGUGCAAACACGAAAGUGGACGUAUACGGUGUGACGCCUGCCCGGUGCCGGAAGGUUAAUUGAUGGGGUCAGCGCAAGCGAAGCUCCUGAUCGAAGCCCCGGUAAACGGCGGCCGUAACUAUAACGGUCCUAAGGUAGCGAAAUUCCUUGUCGGGUAAGUUCCGACCUGCACGAAUGGCGUAAUGAUGGCCAGGCUGUCUCCACCCGAGACUCAGUGAAAUUGAACUCGCUGUGAAGAUGCAGUGUACCCGCGGCAAGACGGAAAGACCCCGUGAACCUUUACUAUAGCUUGACACUGAACAUUGAGCCUUGAUGUGUAGGAUAGGUGGGAGGCUUUGAAGUGUGGACGCCAGUCUGCAUGGAGCCGACCUUGAAAUACCACCCUUUAAUGUUUGAUGUUCUAACGUGGACCCGUGAUCCGGGUUGCGGACAGUGUCUGGUGGGUAGUUUGACUGGGGCGGUCUCCUCCUAAAGAGUAACGGAGGAGCACGAAGGUUGGCUAAUCCUGGUCGGACAUCAGGAGGUUAGUGCAAUGGCAUAAGCCAGCUUGACUGCGAGCGUGACGGCGCGAGCAGGUGCGAAAGCAGGUCAUAGUGAUCCGGUGGUUCUGAAUGGAAGGGCCAUCGCUCAACGGAUAAAAGGUACUCCGGGGAUAACAGGCUGAUACCGCCCAAGAGUUCAUAUCGACGGCGGUGUUUGGCACCUCGAUGUCGGCUCAUCACAUCCUGGGGCUGAAGUAGGUCCCAAGGGUAUGGCUGUUCGCCAUUUAAAGUGGUACGCGAGCUGGGUUUAGAACGUCGUGAGACAGUUCGGUCCCUAUCUGCCGUGGGCGCUGGAGAACUGAGGGGGGCUGCUCCUAGUACGAGAGGACCGGAGUGGACGCAUCACUGGUGUUCGGGUUGUCAUGCCAAUGGCACUGCCCGGUAGCUAAAUGCGGAAGAGAUAAGUGCUGAAAGCAUCUAAGCACGAAACUUGCCCCGAGAUGAGUUCUCCCUGAGACUUUAGGUCUCCUGAAGGAACGUUGAAGACGACGACGUUGAUAGGCCGGGUGUGUAAGCGCAGCGAUGCGUUGAGCUAACCGGUACUAAUGAACCGUGAGGCUUAACCUUACAACGCCGAAG
Molecule: ribosomal RNA, 3028 nt
Filed under: Salmonella enterica subsp. enterica serovar Oranienburg
Lineage: Bacteria; Pseudomonadati; Pseudomonadota; Gammaproteobacteria; Enterobacterales; Enterobacteriaceae
Also listed under: 1 other name
Description: bacterial LSU rRNA
Rfam family: Bacterial large subunit ribosomal RNA
Source: RNAcentral